UGGGGAAUAUUGCACAAUGGGCGAAAGCCUGAUGCAGCAACGCCGCGUGAGUGAUGAAGGUCUUCGGAUUGUAAAGCUCUGUCUUUUGGGACGAUAAUGACGGUACCAAAGGAGGAAGCCACGACUAACUACGUGCCAGCAGCCGCGGUAAUACGUAGGUGGCGAGCGUUGUCCGGAUUUACUGGGCGUAAAGGGUGCGUAGGCGGAUGUUUAAGUGAGAUGUGAAAUACCCGGGCUUAACUUGGGUGCUGCAUUUCAAACUGGAUAUCUAGAGUGCAGGAGAGGAGAAUGGAAUUCCUAGUGUAGCGGUGAAAUGCGUAGAGAUUAGGAAGAACACCAGUGGCGAAGGCGAUUCUCUGGACUGUAACUGACGCUGAGGCACGAAAAGCGUGGGUAGCAAACAGGAUUAGAUACCCUGGUAGUCCACGCCGUAAAACGAUGAGUACUAGGUGUAGGAGGUAUCGACCCCUUCUGUGCCGCAGUAAACACAUUAAGUACUCCGCCUGGGAAGUACGAUCGCAAGAUUAAAAAC
RNAcentral lists this ribosomal RNA (532 nucleotides) under uncultured bacterium. RNAcentral describes it as "partial 16S ribosomal RNA". It matches the Rfam family "Bacterial small subunit ribosomal RNA", at positions 355 to 900 of the family's 1533-position model. The record is from RNAcentral.